UUUACAGGGAGAAAUGAGUAGAGUUGGGGUAGAAUUAAUGGAGAUUGAAAGAGAAGUAACGGAAGAAAUGAGAGAUGGUGAUGAUGAAGUGAAGAGAAUUCCUCCGUGGACUAAACAGAUUACAGUACGAGGAAUUGUUGCGAGUGUUUUGAUUGGAGUUAUUUAUAGUGUGAUUGUAACGAAGCUUAAUCUCACUACUGGACUUGUACCAAAUCUCAAUGUUUCAGCUGCUCUGCUUGCUUAUGUGAUUCUACAGUCAUGGACUAAGGUUCUAAAAAAGGCG
RNAcentral lists this unclassified non-coding RNA (283 nucleotides) under Hevea brasiliensis (rubber tree). The record is from RNAcentral. Lineage: Eukaryota; Viridiplantae; Streptophyta; Magnoliopsida; Malpighiales; Euphorbiaceae.